GGGGGUAUCGUCUAGUGGUAGGAUAGCAGAUUGACAUUCUGCGGGCAGGAGUUCAAUUCUCCUUACCCCCA
Molecule: transfer RNA, 71 nt
Filed under: Microcaldota archaeon
Lineage: Archaea; Nanobdellati; Microcaldota
Description: tRNA-Val
Rfam family: tRNA
About the family: Transfer RNA (tRNA) molecules are approximately 80 nucleotides in length.
Source: RNAcentral